RNAcentral lists this ribosomal RNA (1453 nucleotides) under bacterium 453a_as. RNAcentral describes it as "16S ribosomal RNA". It matches the Rfam family "Bacterial small subunit ribosomal RNA". The record is from RNAcentral.
GUGCCUAAUACAUGCAAGUCGAACGCACAGCGAAAGGUGCUUGCACCUUUCAAGUGAGUGGCGAACGGGUGAGUAACACGUGGACAACCUGCCUCAAGGCUGGGGAUAACAUUUGGAAACAGAUGCUAAUACCGAAUAAAACUUAGUGUCGCAUGACACAAAGUUAAAAGGCGCUUCGGCGUCACCUAGAGAUGGAUCCGCGGUGCAUUAGUUAGUUGGUGGGGUAAAGGCCUACCAAGACAAUGAUGCAUAGCCGAGUUGAGAGACUGAUCGGCCACAUUGGGACUGAGACACGGCCCAAACUCCUACGGGAGGCUGCAGUAGGGAAUCUUCCACAAUGGGCGAAAGCCUGAUGGAGCAACGCCGCGUGUGUGAUGAAGGCUUUCGGGUCGUAAAGCACUGUUGUAUGGGAAGAACAGCUAGAAUAGGAAAUGAUUUUAGGUUGACGGUACCAUACCAGAAAAGGGGACGGCUAAAUACGUGCCAGCAGCCGCGGUAAUACGUAUGUCCCCGAGCGUUAUCCGGAUUUAUUGGGCGUAAAGCGAGCGCAGACGGUUUUAUUAAGUCUGAUGUGAAAGCCCGGAGCUCAACUCCGGAAUGGCAUUGGAAACUGGUUAACUUGAGUGCAGUAGAGGUAAGUGGAACUCCAUGUGUAGCGGUGGAAUGCGUAGAUAUAUGGAAGAACACCAGUGGCGAAGGCGGCUUACUGGACUGCAACUGACGUUGAGGCUCGAAAGUGUGGGUAGCAAACAGGAUUAGAUACCCUGGUAGUCCACACCGUAAACGAUGAACACUAGGUGUUAGGAGGUUUCCGCCUCUUAGUGCCGAAGCUAACGCAUUAAGUGUUCCGCCUGGGGGAGUACGACCGCAAGGGUUGAAACUCAAAGGAAAUUGACGGGGACCCGCACAAGCGGUGGAGCAUGGUGGUUUAAUUCGAAGCAACGCGAAGAACCUUACCAGGUCUUGACAUCCUUUGAAGCUUUUAGAGAUAGAAGUGUUCUCUUCGGAGACAAAGUGACAGGUGGUGCAUGGUCGUCGUCAGCUCGUGUCGUGAGAUGUUGGGUUAAGUCCCGCAACGAGCGCAACCCUUAUUGUUAGUUGCCAGCAUUCAGAUGGGCACUCUAGCGAGACUGCCGGUGACAAACCGGAGGAAGGCGGGGACGACGUCAGAUCAUCAUGCCCCUUAUGACCUGGGCUACACACGUGCUACAAUGGCGUAUACAACGAGUUGCCAACCCGCGAGGGUGAGCUAAUCUCUUAAAGUACGUCUCAGUUCGGAUUGUAGUCUGCAACUCGACUACAUGAAGUCGGAAUCGCUAGUAAUCGCGGAUCAGCACGCCGCGGUGAAUACGUUCCCGGGUCUUGUACACACCGCCCGUCACACCAUGGGAGUUUGUAAUGCCCAAAGCCGGUGGCCUAACCUUUUAGGAAGGAGCCGUCUAAGGCAGGAUCA